Small nuclear RNA from Mustela putorius furo (domestic ferret), 104 nucleotides. The record is from Ensembl. Lineage: Eukaryota; Metazoa; Chordata; Mammalia; Carnivora; Mustelidae.
GUUCUCACUUUGGCAGCACAUGUGCUAAAAUUGGAAUGGUACAGAGAUUGGCAUGGCCCCUGCAAGGGGACAAAACAUAGAUUUGUGAAGCCUUCUGAAUGUUU